This 1513-nucleotide small RNA is filed under the name Drosophila pseudoobscura pseudoobscura. RNAcentral describes it as "GA31858". Lineage: Eukaryota; Metazoa; Arthropoda; Insecta; Diptera; Drosophilidae. The record is from RNAcentral.
UUGAACAAAAGCUGAUGAGCAGCUUAAAGGCCUAGCUACCAUCUCGGGAAUGGGAGUAUCUAUCUUCUUAAAGAUAGAACAAAAUUCUUCAUUCUUCAUAGACUAUAACCAGUUCUGUCUCGCAAUCGAUGAACUUCACAAAUCAAUCGAAACGGAUCUCGACAUUCACCAAGCAUUCUACGAAUCUACCAUUCUCUUUGCCUCUCUUUUGUUCGAUAAGUUGCGCCACGCUCCACGUACAAUCUCUUUUGGUGUUGUUUUUACAACCUUUGCUUUUACCUCAACCCCAACCCCAAACGCAACCCAAGAAGCUUUGCCAAGACCUGUUGCCUGUUGGCUGGUGUAAGGAAGUGCAGAUGGCGCCUUAGACAUGACUUCAAUUAAAGUGCAAUAACAACUCUAUUACUAGCGAAUGGCUGUAUCAAUAAGAGUCUUCUUACAGUCGGACAGACGGGCAGGCAGUCGGCAGCUAGCCAGAUGACGUGAGAUAUGAAGAGCUCUAAAACAAUAAAAAUCUGAAAUCAAUUUCUAUAAAAGCAGCUCCAGCAGCAGUAGCAUCACAAUCGGCCGAGAAGAUGGAGAAGCAAUGAUGCGUAAACGUGUUGGGGCCGAAGAUGAUGGGGGUUGAUGGGAGGGGUGGGGGCCUCGGCUACCGGUUAAAGUCGAUUCAUGUUCCAAAAGGGGUCUCCAGUCCCGGUCUCUGUCCCUGUGUUCCUGUGGCGGGGCCGAACCAGGCUCACACCUUAAAUGGCGACUGGGACAAGUUGCAGCUUCAAGAGCCUGUGAUUAUCUGAGAAAGAAGCGAGAAAUAUUUAUGAACUGAUGGCCCCAGUCAUUGAUGAGGAUCCGAUGCUGUCCGGAGUGCUGAAUGGACUGCAAUGAUGCUAUCACCAGGCCAUCUAAGGGGAGUUUCUCUGUCUCUCUAGAUCUACCUCCAACUCCAUCUCCAUCUCCAUCUCUAGCUCGAACUCCAUCUCCAACUCCAGGUCCAUAGGCCACAAUGAGUUGAUGGAUAGUUGCGUAGCAGGAAGCACGCUCCAAGUAACUUAUGAAAAUGUAUAAAGAAAAAAAGUAGUAAUAAUAAGAAAGAAACAAAUCUUGGGACGGGGUUUCGGUGACCGAGCUCAACAGGUGUAAUAAUUGGAAUCUGUUUUCCAUCUGGCAUCUCCAUGGCGGCGUAGACCCUAAUCAUGGUGAGUGAGCGCGCGAGCCAAAAGAUACUAAAUUCUGCAGAUACUUUCCGGGCAGUCUUCCGACUUGCGGUUACGCUUCGUGGGCUGUGUCUAGGCAUUAAACCAACCAGCAGCUGUAAAAUUACAUCAAAUGUUUAACCAACCCCCAAGUGGGGGGAGCUCCAUCUACCCAACCUCCGAGACAAAUUUCUGGUAUAGACCGCACAGAAUUUUACUUUAUUUUGAGUGAUUACCAGAACCGUACCGAACCGCACUAUCCUUGCAGGAGACUCAGACAAGAGUCUGACGCUUUCCCACGCUCAGAGCCACUGCUCCUGACC